Long non-coding RNA from Paramormyrops kingsleyae, 439 nucleotides. RefSeq lists it as uncharacterized. Lineage: Eukaryota; Metazoa; Chordata; Actinopteri; Osteoglossiformes; Mormyridae. The record is from RefSeq and is a predicted model, not a curated record.
AAUUUAGCAUGUUAAUAGAGUUGCAGAAAUUUAAAUAUUAUUUUCAGGAAACGUGACUGCCUGCCACCGUUGUGUUACAUUCAUUAUGCAGAAGGCUGCGCUGACAUUUAUGGAAUAAAGAGCGAAGGCUAAAAUUGGUACUUUGGACGAAGUCCAGCUUACACCGUGUCGCUCGUCGUUGCGAAUCCUGACUCUCCAUAAACAACUCUCCAAGAAGGUCAUUUUGCUUUGAAGACAGCAUUGCAGACUCUUGGCAUUCUUUCAACCAGCUUGCAGAUGUAGCCUCCUGGAACGCUUCUCCAACAGUCCUGAAGGGGUUUCCACAAGUUCUGGGCUCAGGAGAGCCACUCGGACAAGGAUAAGCUUUGGGGUCACAGCCAAGGGUCGCCACCUUCGGCAGCCAGGGAGCUCGGGGUUAAGGGCUGUGAUCAAGGCCCAC